UGGGGUUGUAGCUAAGUGGUAGAGUACUUGUUUAGCAUGUAUGAGGCCCUGGUUUCGAUCCUCAGCACCACAA
This 73-nucleotide transfer RNA is filed under the name Marmota monax (woodchuck). RNAcentral's name for it is "tRNA.Ala". The record is from RNAcentral. Lineage: Eukaryota; Metazoa; Chordata; Mammalia; Rodentia; Sciuridae.